AUUGAACGCUGGCGGCAUGCCUUACACAUGCAAGUCGAACGGCAGCACGGGAGCAAUCCUGGUGGCGAGUGGCGAACGGGUGAGUAAUAUAUCGGAACGUGCCCAGUCGUGGGGGAUAACGUAGCGAAAGCUACGCUAAUACCGCAUACGAUCUACGGAUGAAAGCGGGGGAUCGCAAGACCUCGCGCGAUUGGAGCGGCCGAUAUCAGAUUAGGUAGUUGGUGAGGUAAAGGCUCACCAAGCCGACGAUCUGUAGCUGGUCUGAGAGGACGACCAGCCACACUGGGACUGAGACACGGCCCAGACUCCUACGGGAGGCAGCAGUGGGAAUUUUGGACAAUGGGCGCAAGCCUGAUCCAGCAAUGCCGCGUGCAGGAUGAAGG
Molecule: ribosomal RNA, 383 nt
Filed under: uncultured bacterium
Lineage: Bacteria
Description: bacterial SSU rRNA
Rfam family: Bacterial small subunit ribosomal RNA
Source: RNAcentral